AGCAGCCGCGGUAAUUCCAGCUCCAAUAGCGUAUAUUAAAGUUGUUGCAGUUAAAAAGCUCGUAGUUGAAUUUCGGGAUUGGCGCAUCGGUCGUGCCUCACGGGGUAUGAACUGGUGCAGUCAAUUUCUCACCUUCUGGAGAACCGCGAUGUCCUUAAUUGGAUGCCGUGGGGAACCAGGACCUUUACUUUGAAAAAAUUAGAGUGUUUAAAGCAGGCAUUUUUGCUUGAAUACAUUAGCAUGGAAUAAUAAAAUAGGACGGCAUGGUUCUAUUUUGUUGGUUUCUAGGACCACCGUAAUGAUUAAUAGGGAUAGUUGGGGGCAUUAGUAUUCAAUUGUCAGAGGUGAAAUUCUUGGAUUUAUUGAAGACUAACUACUGCGAAAGCAUUUGCCAAGGAUGUUUUCAUUAAUCAAGAACGAAAGUUAGGGGAUCGAAGACGAUCAGAUACCGUCGUAGUCUUAACCAUAAACUAUGCCGACUAGGAAUCAGACGAUGUUAAUUUUUUAAUGACUCAUUCGGCGCCUUACG
This 529-nucleotide ribosomal RNA is filed under the name uncultured Glomus. RNAcentral describes it as "SSU rRNA". It matches the Rfam family "Eukaryotic small subunit ribosomal RNA", at positions 569 to 1092 of the family's 1831-position model. Lineage: Eukaryota; Fungi; Glomeromycota; Glomeromycetes; Glomerales; Glomeraceae. The record is from RNAcentral.